AAGAGCAUUGGCCUCAAAAUCCGC
This 24-nucleotide non-coding RNA is filed under the name Arabidopsis thaliana (thale cress). The record is from RNAcentral. Lineage: Eukaryota; Viridiplantae; Streptophyta; Magnoliopsida; Brassicales; Brassicaceae.